UCGUGGGGUGACCUGUCAACUUGAUUGUGAUAACGAACGAGACCUUAACCUACUAAAUAGUCCGUAUUGCUUUGGCAGUACGCUGACUUCUUAGAGGGACUAUCGGUGUAAGCCGAUGGAAGUUUGAGGCAAUAACA
This 137-nucleotide ribosomal RNA is filed under the name uncultured eukaryote. RNAcentral describes it as "partial 18S ribosomal RNA". It matches the Rfam family "Eukaryotic small subunit ribosomal RNA", at positions 1299 to 1458 of the family's 1831-position model. The record is from RNAcentral.